RNAcentral lists this long non-coding RNA (466 nucleotides) under Mustela putorius furo (domestic ferret). Its description in RNAcentral is "lncRNA (ENSMPUG00000026893.1)". The record is from RNAcentral. Lineage: Eukaryota; Metazoa; Chordata; Mammalia; Carnivora; Mustelidae.
UCUUGCAGGAUUUUCCCUUGAAGGCUGGUAUUCUUGGAGAGCCAGCGCCUGUCUCCCGACAGGGCUUUGGAGCCAGGAGCCGUGGCCCAGGGCUCUGUGCCGGGCAGUCUCAUGGACACUGGGUUCACCACCGCAAGGAAGCCCGGAGAGCAUCAUUCCAGGGAAACGAGUUCUGGAGACCGGCCCCCAGCGUGAGAUGAAGAAGCGGCCCCAAACUCCGACUGAAGAGAGCUCAUGGGCGUUGGCAUUUCGAAGGCUUAUCGGUGCCCUUCUGUCUAAUUGAAUAUCAAGGUACAGUUAGACUUCACCUUCCUCCUUUAUUACUGGGUCUGUAAAUCUUAUAAAAACAACCUUUAAUGGUAGAAAAAUGCCAGGCAAGUGAGUUCUCUCGUCUUAGCUUAGUUUCUGCCGCCGACAUGAAGUAUCUAUUUCAAUCUUCGUAGCCACCUGUGAGAUACGUAGUGUC